RNAcentral lists this ribosomal RNA (160 nucleotides) under uncultured bacterium. Its description in RNAcentral is "partial 16S ribosomal RNA". The record is from RNAcentral.
CACGGAGUUAGCCGGUGCUUCUUCUGCGAGUAACGUCAAUCACUGUGGUUAUUAACCACAAUGCCUUCCUCCUCGCUGAAAGUACUUUACAACCCGAAGGCCUUCUUCAUACACGCGGCAUGGCUGCAUCAGGCUUGCGCCCAUUGUGCAAUAUUCCCCA